Molecule: ribosomal RNA, 486 nt
Filed under: uncultured cyanobacterium
Lineage: Bacteria; Bacillati; Cyanobacteriota
Description: bacterial SSU rRNA
Rfam family: Bacterial small subunit ribosomal RNA
Source: RNAcentral
GGCUGUCGUCAGCUCGUGUCGUGAGAUGUUGGGUUAAGUCCCGCAACGAGCGCAACCCACGUCUUUAGUUGCCAGCAUUAAGUUGGGCACUCUAGAGAGGCCGCCGGUGAUAAACCGGAGGAAGGUGUGGAUGACGUCAAGUCAUCAUGCCCCUUACAUCCUGGGCUACACACGUACUACAAUGCUACGGACAAAGGGCAGCAAACUCGCGAGAGCUAGCAAAUCCCAUAAACCGUGGCUCAGUUCAGAUCGUAGGCUGCAACUCGCCUACGUGAAGGAGGAAUCGCUAGUAAUCGCAGGUCAGCAUACUGCGGUGAAUACGUUCCCGGGCCUUGUACACACCGCCCGUCACACCAUGGAAGUUGGUCACGCCCGAAGUCGUUACUCCAACCCUUGUGGAGGAGGAUGCCGAAGGUGGGGCUGAUGACUGGGGUGAAGUCGUAACAAGGUAGCCGUACCGGAAGGUGCGGCUGGAUCACCUCCUAA